RNA transcript from Lagopus leucura (white-tailed ptarmigan), 6294 nucleotides. RefSeq lists it as uncharacterized. The transcript has 5 exons. The record is from RefSeq and is a predicted model, not a curated record. Lineage: Eukaryota; Metazoa; Chordata; Aves; Galliformes; Phasianidae.
AUAGCAGUGAGUGCACGCAGCUGGAUUGCACGACCUGCAGGAGCUGCUGGGACUCGGUCUGCUUGUCACGUUACAGCCAUUCUCCGGGCGAUUUAUUCAGCUGAGUCAGGAAAAGCCGCUGCCUGCUGCUUCUGAGAAACUCUCUGCACCUCAGGAGAGACAGCGCUAAUUAACACAGGUCUAAAUUAGAGCAGAACUAAGGCUAGUGCUUGGAAAACGUGGGGUGAGCAUAAAACCAGGAGGGCUGUGUGCAACCCGCUGAGCUGCCUACAGGUGCCUGAGCUUCAGGCUGUGCUUGGAGCUGGUGGCAGUGCUGCUCCGUGUCGUGCAGGCUCAGUGCGAGCUGCAAAGGCCCUUGCUGCCCUUCUCUGCAAUGCUAAGUGAAACUGGUCUCAGUCAGUCUUGGUCUCCGAACGAGCCCUUAUGAAAGAUGACUGUUGUGUUUCCAUCUGGAGCAGCUGAGCAGCCUGACUUAUGCCUCUGGAAGUCAGUAGAGAGAAAGCCCUGUGCACAUUCACCCCUAACUGCAUCCUGCCCUCCCAGUUUCAAUGGAGCAGUACCAACCCUGCAAAAAGCCAACCCACAAACUCCAAACUGAGGCUGAGAGGAGGAAGAUGAGCGGUUCCCUCAGAGCAGCUGAUGCUGCAGGGGAGCUGCAGGAGUGAUGCACGAAUCUCACAUUGAAAUUUAAGUUUUGGAUCUCAAAAGUAAUAGGGUUCUUCCACUCUGCAAGGACGGCUCAGUGCCUGGGGUUGCUGUGAUGUCAUUCCUUUUGGGAACCUUUUUGGGUGAAGUCAGUGCAGGUGACCUCCACCUCCAUCAGAACACCACUGGUGUGAUCCUGGGCUGCUGGAUUCUCAAUGGCUCGUAGCAGUUUCCCUGUCUGUCCAUCCACAGUGCUCCGUCAGUGUGCUGAGUUACUUCUGAGUGUUGUAAUGCAGCUGAGCCGAAUAAUCCCUGCGGAUAGGAAGAGGAGAUGGAUGCACUCUCCUCAGGAAGAAGAGUCCAAGAGGAUGAUAGCAACGAUCCAGCUGGACCUGCAAGUCAACACCAUUCCCGGAUUUAGCCGAGAACUUUGGCAGUUUUUGAGUUGCUUGGGAUUUUGCCCUGGAUCCUCAGUGUCAGGAAUGGCUGCUGCCCAGAUUUGCAAGGUGUGGUACAGCCACUGCUGCUGAUGCCAAUAGUCAAGGAGAGGGGAAUGAAACCUGCUGAGACUUGGGAAUGAAACAAAUCAGCAUUAAUUAAAAGCAAAUGCUAUCUGUUGACUAAGAGGUUCCAAAGCAGAUGUUUGUCAAAAUCGCCAGGAGAUGGGUCAUCUGAAAGCAGAGGUAAUAAAUAAUGAGAACGAUGUUUCUAGUCAUUUCAUGUUUUCUCAGGUCAAAACCAGGUGUCAGUCAGGGCUGGAAGUAUCACAGAGUGAAACACAUUGUGUUGUUCCACUGCAGGGAGCUCCAUGCCGCCAUCUCUGUGUUUGUGACCCAUGUGCUCAAAGCACUGUGUGCCUACGGACCUGUGGCAGCAUUACAUGCACAGCUGGCAGCGUGCUGGGCAGGCCCUCACAUCACUCCUGCUCCAUCAAAUGGCUCUCUGCAAGUUUAUGCUCAGGUGGAUGCAUGUUGGAAUGGCAUUGGCACUUCUGUGGCUCUCCAUCCCUCUCUGGCAGCAGCACAGAGGAAUUCGGGCAGCUCGCUCUGUUCUGUCCUGGGAUACAUCAAAAGAUGAAGAAACGUCCAGCUGUGAUGCAAACCAGCUUUUCCAGGAGGUGGAAGAGCUGCUCCCUGCUGUAAUAAGAAGAUAAUACCACCACAGAGAUCAAUUCCUGUGCUGGGAGGAGCUGAGUCUGAGCCCCUGCAGGACCCAGGCUGAACUCCUGGCACCUUUGGCACGCGGUGAUCCCUGGGUUUGAUGGACGUCCUAUGGAAGCAGCUGUGACAUGGACAUCAAUAACAAUAUGGGGAGUGCUCCAUGGGCUGAGCUGUGGUAUGUACUGCCAGUGGUGCUGAGAAGAAUGAGCAGUGCUUAACUGCUUAAGCACAGCCUUGGCUACGUGAUGCUGUUGGGAAGGGAGAAGCAGAGGUAGGAUUGUUACAGCAUUCAUCUCUUCAUGCCUUCCAUUGGAAUGAAGCUGUGCUCUCACUUGGACCAGAGUUCAUAGCGAUGCUACUUAAAGAGAGGCAGUGACACGGGCAAUGCCACGGCUGUUUGCAUCCGUGCAGAGUAGCUACAUGAGGCAGAGGCCAGGAGAAAGAGAAUGGGACUGUGAUGGAGCCAGCAGGGAUGCCAGGCUGUCCUCUGAGCCUGAAUGGAGCACUUCUGGGAAAGGAAAGUGCAGCAUUGGGAACAGAGAAGGUGCCUCCCAGGGCCCUCUGGCCCUUUUGCCCCACUGUGCAUCAGCAUUCAGAGCAGCAGCUGAAUUUAAGUUGUUUAAGCUGUCACCUGCUGAACUCUGCAGAAGUUGCAGCCCAAAACAUUUAUGAUUAUCGGAGUCAGCAGAGCAUUGUGUGUAACCUGAGUCCUGCUAGGACCAGGUCAAAACCUGGUCAGUGCUCAGGCAUCUCUCUGGCAUCCCAUCCCCACAGCCCCACGAGAGGGGAUUGGAUUUCAAACGCACUGUGUGUCGUCUUUAAAAGACAUAAUACAAAUAAUUGGCACCCCAGGACCAGGCGUCUGCGUGGGGAAGGAGGGGAGCAGAGCUCAUCUGAUCAAAGAUGCCCCAGCCGCCUCGCCGAGCCACGUCCCUCAGGAAGGAGCCUGGAAAGACCAAUUUUCACAGAUCUCAGCACCAGGAAAUGGGCAUUUCAUCAUGAGUUGAGUCAUGGAGAGGAGGGCUCGGCCGAGCUGCUGCUGCUAAAGCAGAGACAAAUGUAAUUUAUUACCCUGCGUCCUGCUGAGGCUUGGGGAACUCAGGAGGAACAAGCAAUGCUAAGGAGCCCUGGCCCCCAAGGAGGCCUUUUGGAGAGUGACUAAUCGAGAUGGGGUGUUCUCAUCCAUCCGAGCAUGCUCCAUCCUUUCACAGAUUGGUGUCACAAAGCAAACAGCACAGAGGUGCAGGGAGAAGGGCCGUUCUGACCUGAAAGUCAGGGCACCCAGCUCUUCUCGCAGCUCCUGUAGGUGCUUCUGUCACUCAGCAGCUCACUUCGUCUUCUCCUCUCUCAGUUCCCCAUCUGUCAGAGCAGCACAGCACAUUCAGGUGCCAUAAGGAAAUAACACAUUCCUGGGGGCACCCCCUCUCCAGGCAGAGGCUGUGCUGUUGGUGCCUAUUUUGGAUUAGCAGAGCAGAGAGGCGAUGCUCGGAGAUGAAUAUGCAACGUUGCAGGAGUGAUUUUACGUCCGUGCACCUACUGUAAGGCUGAUGCUCCUGUACUGUCACUGCAGGGGGGUCAUUAACAGUUCUGAGAUGUGCUCAGGGUUUUCAGUGGUUCUCAGAUGGUAUCAAGGACACACGGUGCUCAGAAAUGAGCAAAACCAGAAGAAGAUGGUGGAAAAAAGUAAGGAAAUUGUGGAACUGGAAAGCUGUGUUCCCCUUAAGGAGCACUUCACAGAACAGGUAGUUGCUGUCAAAAUGCUUUAAGCUUCACCAACACAAAUUCCAUGUUGUUGCUGGUUUCAUAAUACAUUGCUCAGUGAAAACAUAAACGAGCUGAUUUGAGAAAUAUUUCAUCCACAUGAAAGACAGUUUGGUAAACAAAAACACAAGUGAAUAUUUUAUUAAUGCUUUUGAUAAAGAUGUGAACGCGGAGUGAUAUCGUGCAGUGAAUGAAUGAACUUAUUAAAAAAUUAAGAGGGAAGGAGGAAUGUGGGUCAAUUUUAUCAACGCAGGAACAGCUUCAGUCACGUUUGUCUCACAGAGACGAGAUUUCAUUUUUGAACUGUUGCGAUCAUAAACAUUCCCGAGGAGCACAAACUCACUUUCAUUUCCUCUCACGCUGCUUCGUAUUGGCUGAAAGCUCACAGCCCUCUGAAGCUGAGCAUCCCUUUGUAUUCACAAAUGUCUCAGCUGGGGGUGCACUGCUGUCCUGCCAGCGCUGGGCAGUGAGAUUUGUGCCAUGCAUGCAGUGUGUGCUGUGUCAGCACGGUGCUCGAUGUACAACACAAGGAAUGGUCCCAUUUGCAACGCUGAUCCAUCCAGCCCAGGGCUGGGAGUAGCAGUGCAUGCUCAGAGCUGUGCCUCCUCCUCCAGCACUGCAUUCCACGUCAUCCAUCCCCACUGUGCCACAGCGUUACAUCAACAGGCGACUGAAAUCACACUUGAAAAUUAAUUUCCCACAGAGGUUUGGCCAACAGCUGACAGGUGACAGAUUGCUCCGUUGGUUGUGCACGUAUUGGUUCUGCCCUAACGUGAAAUGGAGGUCUUGGAGCAAUGUCUUUUUGGUUUUCUUUCCUUUUAUUAAACCUGUAAUUCCACCAUGUCAAAAAUUACAGCCAUCGGUCGGUGCUGCACAGAAUCCUCUGUGCUCAUGGUGAGCCCACAGCUCCAGGACCAGCAGGAUUAUGUCCCACUCAUUAACUGGGCAGGAAGAUCUGAUGAGCUCAGGGUUCAACCCGUGCAUCUCUGCUGCUCCUGGGAUGGAGCCUGGAUGUCUGCAUGGCAUUGCACGGGGACACGCAGGCACCGCUGCUGAGAGCGAAGUUAGCUCUGAAAGAAAGGACAAAGAGAUUCAGUUCCAUCCUCUUCUUUCAUCUAAAACAAAACAGGAGAAAAAAAAAAACAGUGUUAGAAUGAAACAGGCUUAUUAAAUUGUGCUCCAACCUGACCCUGAGGGAUUCACUCAUUGCCCUGAGCUCUGUGCUGGGACUCAGAAGACAGCCCCACGGAUGUGGCAUUAGUGGGAGCAAUGGCAGAGUGAGGGCUGUUGUUGUGCCAGGCCUGCAGAGAGAACAGACAGCUUGGCUGAGAGCAGAUCUUUCUCAGAGGCCCAGCUCCAGCUGCCCAUGGAAGCCAAGGAAGUCUGUGCGAGAUGUCAGUAUUUGAGGAAUUGCCAUUGCAGAGAUGAGGGUGCCUGGUGAACACCAGCAUCCCUUGUUCUGUGCGGCACAGCAGGGGGAGAGUUAACGUGACCUAGAAGCAGAAACGAAGGCUUUCCUUUUUCAUUCUUUGGCAUGCGUGUUUCUUGCUUCUCUGAGUAUUUGCAUGACCAUAAAUUCAGAGCUCUGGAGGAUAUUUUCAGCCAAAGACUACAUGUGCAGGAUACCAUAAUGUAAACUGCAUAUGUUGUGAGAAGUUGUUAAAUGGAACCAGCAGAUGAUAAUGUGCCCAGCAUUGCUGCUAACAUCACUCGAUUUCCUCCCACCGUAGGUAAAACAAGCCCUUUUCCCAAUCAAUUCCAAUCCUCAGACAGGCCCAUAAAUUAACAUGAGGAAGAGAAUGUUUUUGGCUACCAGACCUCCACUGGAGACCCAGGAGUUGGCCCCUGCUUUCAAGAGCAGCUCUGGUUCUGAGGAGAUGCAGACAAAUGGCCUUCGUCUGCCAUUUCCCAUCUCUGUGCUCUGCCUUGCAGGCAAUGACACGUGUUGGAAAAAUUCUGGCACAGCCCAGGACAUCUGCCAUCUUCCCAGCCUCUUUCCCACUCCUUUUCCAGAGUGGCUGAUCCCCUUUCUGUGUGGGUUUUAGGGCUAAUGGGAGCUGCAGCGUUUCCUCCUGGCUUGAGGACAUGCAGCUGUUGAAAUCACACAGGGAAAGCAGCAAAACUCCAUCAGCUCCAUCAGGAAUCAGGGCUGGAGUGGACAGGACACUGACAUUCUCCCUGGCAAAACAUCUGGAAGUCCUAUGGGGUUGUUUUUGUUCUUGUUUGGAAGUCUGAAAUGUGGAUCAGGCAAAGAUUACUGUGAGAUUUUCUUAUGGAGCAGCAAUGCAAUAUCGUAACGCUCUUGGUGAUCUCAGCAUUGCAUUCUGUGCCUUUUGGUGUAGAAGGAGCAAAAGGUUCCUGCAAAGAGGGAAAGCCAUCACCAGCAGCUGCUCCCCAAGCCAGUUGCAGUGCUGGAGCUUAGUCUGACAAAUAACCAACAGAUUUUCUCUCUGAUGGUCCUCAACCCAACUACUGGUGCCUCUCAGAUCCAAAUUUUGGGGCAGUAUUCACGUUGCCUGUCUACCUGGAUGGAGCCCAAUGCUCAGCAGUACGGUGUGGUGAAAUGCACAGCUGGAUGGGGGCUGAAAGCUGCCCAAUCCUCAGCCCCACACCAGCAGAUCUGUCUGCUUCAAAGGAGGUUGUAUACCUUGCUAAAUAACGUUCAUACCCAGAAGUGUAACACUGAACAGGGACCAAACAUACUGCGCAAGCAUAGGGCUGGAGUUUG